Molecule: ribosomal RNA, 492 nt
Filed under: uncultured bacterium
Lineage: Bacteria
Description: partial 16S ribosomal RNA
Rfam family: Bacterial small subunit ribosomal RNA
Source: RNAcentral
AGUGAGCGCUGGCGGUAGGCCUAACACAUGCAAGUCGAACGGCAGCACAGUAAGAGCUUGCUCUUACGGGUGGCGAGUGGCGGACGGGUGAGGAAUACAUCGGAAUCUACUUUUUCGUGGGGGAUAACGUAGGGAAACUUACGCUAAUACCGCAUACGACCUACGGGUGAAAGCAGGGGAUCUUCGGACCUUGCGCGAUUGAAUGAGCCGAUGUCGGAUUAGCUAGUUGGCGGGGUAAAGGCCCACCAAGGCGACGAUCCGUAGCUGGUCUGAGAGGAUGAUCAGCCACACUGGAACUGAGACACGGUCCAGACUCCUACGGGAGGCAGCAGUGGGGAAUAUUGGACAAUGGGCGCAAGCCUGAUUCAGCCAUACCGCGUGGGUGAAGAAGGCCUUCGGGUUGUAAAGCCCUUUUGUUGGGAAAGAAAAGCAGCAGGUUAAUACCCCGCUGUUCUGACGGUACCCAAAGAAUAAGCACCGGCUAACUUCGUG